Molecule: long non-coding RNA, 1191 nt
Filed under: Papio anubis (olive baboon)
Lineage: Eukaryota; Metazoa; Chordata; Mammalia; Primates; Cercopithecidae
Description: lncRNA (ENSPANG00000036255.2)
Source: RNAcentral
CUAUCACCUACCCUUAGUAUGCAUAAUUCACUCUGAUAUCCUAUUCUAUUUCAGUCUUUGUGUUCUGUUGAAAUAAUUUUUUUAAAAACUUAAUUCCUCUCCCACAGUGUUGGUUUCAGGUUGUUGUUAGCAGAACUCUGGAGCCAUACUGCCUUAACCAACCCAAUUUUCCUGGUGUCCUGCUGUUUCCCGGGGCUCUUGGCAUUGUGCUUUCAGGGGCUGCCUCAGAUUGUGCAAUGAAGUGAAGUGGAAAUUUUAAAACUUUUAUUCCACCCAUUCUGUCAUCUGCCGUCUAGGCAGGCUACAAACCUACCCAACAUCCCUGCUGCUAACCCCCUCCAACUGGCACUGCAAGUGUCAAACACAAGUACCAGCUCAACACAGUCUUCAGUCUCACCAUGGGCUUUCUCUGUUUUGUUACGUAGAUUUUGUUGCUGAUACUGUUUUUUAACUUUCCGUUUCCAUUCUGUAAUUUUCCAGGUUUGAUUUGGGAAGCAGAACACAGCAGCCCAAAUUUGUUGUAAUGUUGGCGGCUACAGGAAUGGGUAUGAAGUGGGUUCUCUUCCACUGAUCUUGGUCACGUACUCCAAGACUUUCUUCUUGCUGGUUUCAGCAUGGGCCCUUGGACCCCACAGGAACGCAUAGCAUGCAGGAUCACUUCUGGGCACCUGCCAGUACUCCAGUGCUCCUCUAGGGCCUCCUUGGGUUCCUGUCCUCCUGGUCAGCCUGUCCCCUGAGAAUCUGAAGAGAAGUGAGACAGCUCCUGAGGUUACAGCCAGCCAGCAGAGGCCAAGGCUCCAACACUGAUGGUAGGGCCGGUGGGGCUGGGCGCUCUGGAGUCCCAUCCAUUAUGGGUGGGUGGGACCCUUGGUAUACAUUCAGGGUGAACACCUCAACUUGACUGCUGACACUGCCUGGGUCUCCUCUGCUCUGUGACUUGAGGACACUGACUCAGACUAAAGCCUCACCUCCAAGUUCCUGGAGCUCCUAGAAGAGGAAUCAAGGGGCCCCCAGGGUGCAGGCUGCAAGCACUGCCUCAGUCCCCCAGCACUGUCAGGAGGGUGGGCUGGACUCUGUCAGUUCCCCCACUCAUUUGCAUAGAUGGUCCCUUCUAUGCUCACCCAGGGCCUUCACAUUUCUCCUAGCAGGGCCUGAAUCCUGCCCCUUUGCUGGCCUGAGAAAAUCUCAGAU